CACCAAUACAUUUUAAUGUUGCAGCUACUCUGGGCAGGAAAGUUCUCUGAUUUCUUGUGGGGUUAUUUAUUCGGAGUUUUUGAAGGUAUUUCUUUGGCAAAUAUGCAAAUCAGAUUAGCAUUUCGUAUCUCCUAUGGUAUUUGACAGAUUUUAUAGUUUUAUAGUUUCCUGUUUUGGGUUUCUUAGUAGGAAAUCCUCCUCUAGGGUUAUUGGAUAUGAAAUAUGAACACAACAUGAAAUUUGAACGGUUGGUUUUGCCUUAAGUAUGUUUUUGAGAUGAUCAUACUGCCAUGAUUUUUACUUGUAAUGAUCAUGUCAUGAGUUGACCUGCCAAUAUGGAAUUUGCAUAUUUUUUACUUUGGG
RNAcentral lists this unclassified non-coding RNA (363 nucleotides) under Hevea brasiliensis (rubber tree). The record is from RNAcentral. Lineage: Eukaryota; Viridiplantae; Streptophyta; Magnoliopsida; Malpighiales; Euphorbiaceae.